RNAcentral lists this long non-coding RNA (211 nucleotides) under Ananas comosus (pineapple). RNAcentral describes it as "long non-coding RNA (ACOM_LNC014817)". The record is from RNAcentral. Lineage: Eukaryota; Viridiplantae; Streptophyta; Magnoliopsida; Poales; Bromeliaceae.
ACUCAUCGAAUUCAAGUCUAGUUUCUGGAUCUAUCAAAAUAUCUCGAAUCUCGACUUUGAAGAAAAAUGUUCAAUAUAAAUAUAAAAAAUAUUAUUUUUUAGCGUCUUAAGCUACUGAAGAACAAUAUUUGUUUCACAUUAUUUCACAUAUAUUUCUAAAUUCGGCGUAAGAUUUAUAUUCCACGCAAUCAAAUGUUCAUAUUUUGAUAUU